AAUGGGCGCAAGMCUGAUCCAUYCAUKCCGYGUGAGUGAUGAAGGCCUUAGGGUMGUAAAGCUCUUUCKCCAGGGWUGAUAAUGACAGUACCUGGUAAAGAAACCCSGGCUAAYUCCGUGCCAGCAGCCGSGGUAAUACGGAGGGGGUUAGCGUUGUUCGGAAUUACUGGGCGUAAAGCGCGCGUARGCGGAUUAGUCAGUUAGAGGUGAAAUCCCGGGGCUCAACCCCGGAACUGCCUUUAAUACUGCUAGUCUUGAGUUCGAGAGAGGKGAGUGGAAUUCCGAGUGUAGAGGUGAAAUUCRWAGAUAUUCGGAGGAACACCAUUGGCGAAGGCGGCUCACUGGCUCGAUACUGACGCUGAGGUGCGAAAGUGUGGGGAGCAAACAGGAUUAGAUACCCUGGUAGUCCACACCGUAAACNAUNAAUGCCAGUCGUCSGGUARCAUGCUAUUCUGUGACACACCUAACGGAUUAAGCAUUCCGCCUGGG
Molecule: ribosomal RNA, 489 nt
Filed under: uncultured Thalassovita sp.
Lineage: Bacteria; Pseudomonadati; Pseudomonadota; Alphaproteobacteria; Rhodobacterales; Roseobacteraceae
Description: uncultured Thalassobius sp. partial 16S ribosomal RNA
Rfam family: Bacterial small subunit ribosomal RNA
Source: RNAcentral